AUGGUCAGGGCCACCAUGGGGUCAUGGCCACCAUGGGGUCGGUUGUGGCCACCACAGGGACGGUUGUGGCCACCAUGGAGUCAUGGCCACCACGGGGACGGUUGUGGCCACCACAGGGUCGGUUGUGGCCACCACGGGGUCGGUUGUGGCCACCAUGGGGUCAGGGCCACCACGGGGUCGGUCAUGGCCACCAUGGGGUCGUGGCUACCAUGGGGUCAGUUAUGGCCACCACGGAGUCAGGGCCACUGUGAGGUCAGGGCCACCAUAGGGACAGUCGUGGCCACCACAGGGUCAGUCGUGGCCACCAUGGGGUCAGGGCCACCAUGGGGACAGUCAGGGCCACCACAGGGAUGGUCAGGGCCACCACGGGGAUGGUCAUGGCCACCAAAGGGUCAGUCGUGGCCACCACGGAGUCAGGGCCACUGUGGGGUCAGGGCCACCACAGGGUCAGUUGUGGCCACCACAGGGACGGUUGUGGCCACCAUAAGGAUGGUCAGGGCCACCACAGGGAUGGUCAGGGCCAUCAGAGGGACGGUCAGGGCCACCAUGGGGUCAGGGCCACCACAGGGAUGGUCAGGGCCACCACAGGGAUGGUCAGGGCCACCACAAGGUCAGUUGUGGCCACCAUGGAUUCAGGGCCACCACAGGGACAGUCAGGGCCACCAUAAGGAUGGUCAGGGCCACCAUGGGGUUGUGGCCACCACAGGGACGGUUGUGGCCACCACAGGGUCGGUUGUGGCCACCAUGGGGUCAGGGCCACCACGGGGUCGGUCGUGGCCACCAUGGGGUCGUGGCUACCAUGGGGUCAGUUAUGGCCACCACGGAGUCAGGGCCACUGUGAGGUCAGGGCCACCAUAGGGACAGUCGUGGCCACCACAGGGUCAGUCGUGGCCACCAUGGGGUCAGGGCCACCAUGGGGACAGUCAGGGCCACCACAGGGAUGGUCAGGGCCACCACGGGGAUGGUCAUGGCCACCAAAGGGUCAGUCGUGGCCACCACGGAGUCAGGGCCACUGUGGGGUCAGGGCCACCACAGGGUCAGUUGUGGCCACCACAGGGACGGUUGUGGCCACCAUAAGGAUGGUCAGGG
Molecule: long non-coding RNA, 1089 nt
Filed under: Calidris pugnax (ruff)
Lineage: Eukaryota; Metazoa; Chordata; Aves; Charadriiformes; Scolopacidae
Description: lncRNA (ENSCPUG00000000404.1)
Source: RNAcentral